GGAAGUUUAGCUCAGCUGGUUAGAGCGCCUGCCUUACAAGCAGGAGGUCCCGGGUUCGAGUCCCGUAACUUCCA
RNAcentral lists this transfer RNA (74 nucleotides) under Eubacteriales bacterium. RNAcentral describes it as "tRNA-Val". It matches the Rfam family "tRNA". From Rfam's summary of the family: Transfer RNA (tRNA) molecules are approximately 80 nucleotides in length. The record is from RNAcentral. Lineage: Bacteria; Bacillati; Bacillota; Clostridia; Eubacteriales.